Molecule: ribosomal RNA, 429 nt
Filed under: Verrucomicrobiota bacterium
Lineage: Bacteria; Pseudomonadati; Verrucomicrobiota
Description: Verrucomicrobia bacterium partial 16S ribosomal RNA
Rfam family: Bacterial small subunit ribosomal RNA
Source: RNAcentral
UAGGGAAUCUUCCGCAAUGGACGAAAGUCUGACGGAGCAACGCCGCGUGAGUGAAGAAGGAUUUCGGUUCGUAAAACUCUGUUGUUAGGGAAGAAAAAAUGUAUAGUAACUAUAUACAAAAGAGACGGUACCUAACCAGAAAGCCACGGCUAACUACGUGCCAGCAGCCGCGGUAAUACGUAGGUGGCAAGCGUUGUCCGGAAUUAUUGGGCGUAAAGCGCGCGCAGGUGGUUUAGAAAGUCUGAUGUGAAAGCCCACGGCUCAACCGUGGAGGGUCAUUGGAAACUAAUAAACUUGAGUGCAGGAGAGAAAAGUGGAAUUCCUAGUGUAGCGGUGAAAUGCGUAGAGAUUAGGAGGAACACCGGUGGCGAAAGCGGCUUUGUGGCCUGCAACUGACACUGAGGCGCGAAAGAGUGGGGAGCAAACAGG